UGGGGAAUAUUGGGCAAUGGGGGAAACCCUGACCCAGCGACGCCGCGUGAGGGAAGAAGGUUUUCGGAUUGUAAACCUCUGUUCUUGGUGAAGAGGGGAAGACGGUAGCCAAGGAGGAAGCCCCGGCUAACUACGUGCCAGCAGCCGCGGUAAUACGUAGGGGGCGAGCGUUGUCCGGAAUGAUUGGGCGUAAAGGGCGCGUAGGCGGCUUGUCAAGACUGGAGUGGAAGUCCUAUUUUCAAGGUAGGAAUUGCUUUGGAAACUGGCAAGCUUGAGUGCAGGAGAGGUCAUCGGAGUUCCCGGUGUAGCGGUGAAAUGCGUAGAGAUCGGGAGGAACACCAGUGGCGAAGGCGGGUGACUGGACUGCAACUGACGCUGAGGCGCGAAAGUGUGGGGAGCAAACAG
Molecule: ribosomal RNA, 405 nt
Filed under: uncultured bacterium
Lineage: Bacteria
Description: bacterial SSU rRNA
Rfam family: Bacterial small subunit ribosomal RNA
Source: RNAcentral